GAUGUUGGAGUCCAUGAUCAAGUCUCCAAGGCCUACUCGAGCUGAAGCUACUGAUGUUGCCAAUGCAGUUCUUGAUGGUACUGAUUGUGUGAUGCUUAGUGGAGAAACUGCUGCUGGAGCCUAUCCUGAACUUGCUGUUCAAACCAUGGCCAGAAUUUGCAAAGAGGCUGAGGACUUCAUAAAUUAUGGAGAUCUUUUUAAGAGAAUUAUGGAAAAUGCAUCUAUGCCCAUGAGCCCAUUGGAGAGUUUGGCUUCCUCAGCAGUAAAGACAGCAAACAGUGUCAAAGCAGCUUUUAUUUUAGUACUAACUAGACGUGGAAACACAGCAAAGCUGUUGUCUAAGUACCGACCAAGCAUGCCAAUUUUGUCCGUGGUUGUUCCUGAGAUUAAAACUGAUUUCUUUCAGUGGUUAUGCAGUGAUGAAACUCCAGCUAGGCAUAGCCUUAUUUACAGGGGUCUGGUGCCUGUUUUGAGUUCAGGCUCUGCAGGAGCUUCUCAUAGUGAGUCUACAGAAGAAACAAUUGAGCAAGCCUUACAGUAUGCUAAGGAGAAGGGAUUUUGCAACCCAGGAGAUUCAAUUGUUGUACUGCACAAGAUUGAUAUUGCUUCUGUCAUCAAAAUCCAGUUUGUAUGGUGAUGAUACCGUGAACAAUUCGGGUCAAGAGUGUUCUAGAUUUUGCAAGUUUCUCUUUGGUUUAAUUAGUGUUGGAACUAUGUUAAUUAAAUGAUUUCUGACGUGCGUUCUAGUUAUAAAAAAUUUAAAUGAGCAUCUUUAUAAUUUCAUUUUUUUUUUUCUAUCUUCAUGUAGGGUGAGAUCCGUCUUCUCGUUUCAUUAAAACAGGAUUUAUCCCAGAUGGAAACCAAGAUAAGUAAAUUUGCCAUAUUCUUCCUGCAAAGACUCCUACUAAGUAAAGAUAAUAGUAUUUAUGAUUUUUGUUUUCCAUGGUAUAUCACUUGUGCAAGC
This 964-nucleotide unclassified non-coding RNA is filed under the name Hevea brasiliensis (rubber tree). Lineage: Eukaryota; Viridiplantae; Streptophyta; Magnoliopsida; Malpighiales; Euphorbiaceae. The record is from RNAcentral.